CAUCUUUCUUUCUUGUCAUUUCUCUGUUUAUAUUUCCAAGAAAGAAGCAAGGAUUAACCCAGCUUUUAUGUGUAUGAGUGCCAGGUUAUGAAAUGAGUUGCUGACAAGCCUAUUGAUUGACUGCCUGUUGGUUAGGAGUACGUCCUGAACCAAUGAGCUCUAGGGGUGGGGUCACACAGGGCAAAGCGUAACCACUUAAAGCUGCUCCUUCCAGUUUCCCCGAGCAGGAUUAAUGGGGAUGACAGAUAAUGUGAAUAACUUGUUUACCACGGAGAGAGACACCCGUAAAAUUAACCCUAUGUUGUGAUAACAUCAUGAGCCAAACUCACUGGGCAAGCUUGGCAGCACACGUGGUGGGAAAAGAAAAGGACCCGUAACCAGGGAAAGUGCCUCGGUGGAAUUCCUGUGACCUACACUAUGGACGGAGCAGACUUCAUUAUUCACAACAGGCUGGAAGUCCAGUUACCAGCAGUGUGUCCACGUCUGAAGCCAGACAGAAACUUGUUCAGCCAGUUUCCUUCUUUCACGAGGCUGUUCCAAAACUGACACAUGCAGACUGAGAAAAACACUGAGAGUUUCUGUGUUCCCAGGAAUGAGUCCCACCAGAACAGGUCUCGGCAUUGAAGCUGAACCCAUAGCCAACCGGUGAGACCUGACUGGACCUCUCCUCUCCUUUGAAAGAAAGCAGGCCUGGCUGACACCCAACACCCCAGAGGUACCAGCCCCCCACCACACACGGCUGUGAAUAAACCCCAUCUUGCUGCUCACGGCGGGGUGUGGCCUUGGUUAACCACAAACCGGUCUAAAGACUUCACUGACAGGCCAGCUGAAAGCCUUUGUUUGUCAUCCAGCCCCUGAGGCAUAUGAUUAGAAGAAUUACUUAAAAUGUUAAGAUGUUACAUUCCUAAAGCCCUGGCUGUGACCCAGAGAGACUCUCGCAAGGUGGCUGGCCCCAGCCACUUCACUCCUAGAUGAAACCCAAGUCACCUGGAAUCCUUGGGGUGACACGGCAUGGAGAAUGCAGCUCAUCGGUGACACUGCUGACCAACAGGAAGGCCUUUCAUUGACCAGUCUCCAGGGUCGAGUGGUCACCAUGGAGCCCAGCUUUGUGUGAGGGGCAUAAAGACCACAUGGAGAGUUCACCUCACACUUUCCUUCUCCAUCCCCGAGUUGUGCACUACUGAGACCCACAAAGCUUCUCGAAUCCACACAAUGGAUAUCAUCAGGACUGUGGCAGGAAAGCAUUACGGCUUUGAGACUCAACAAGGAAGUAAUAUGUGGAUAAUGUCCAUGAAGCCAUGUUACCGAUUUCUCUCUGAGGGUCUUCCAACUUCUUGCUGCAUUCUCAGCUGUUCACAGCCUGGAGGGGAGAGGAGGGGAUGCAGAUAAAAGAAAUGAUCGAUGUAUCUGAACUUCCCAUCCUUCCCCCAGAAGGGAGAUUCAUGGCUGACUGACAGAAGCAGGCCAGUAGUUGCUUAGAUCUGCUGGGAACGAAAUGAAAAUACGAAAAACACUGGAGCUAAAAUUCCAGAGUGCCUGCUGCCAGCCAAAGCCCAUUGACUUGCUGAAUCAACCAGAUAGAGAACAUUGUACACAAGUGGAUCCUGGACCGUCAAGUGCUGCACGAAGCUUGUCACUGGUGUCAAAGAGAGAGGAUGCUGAGCCCCUGAACUCUAUGGCUUCAAGAUGCUCCGUUUUGCCCUGGCUGGAAAAGCUGGUCAGUGUUAUUUGUAAUCAGUGUGGUGUGAGGACCAGCUGCAUCGUCAACUCCCAGGAGCCUGAUGCAACUGGAGCAUCUCAGACCCCGACCCAGACCUACUGAAUCAGAAGCCGCAGUUGAACAAGAUCCCUGGCAGCUUCGCAGGCACAUAAAAGUUUAAAAAGCAAUGCUUUAGAGCAAGUUAGGCAAAAAGAAGAGCUGAGAAGUGUGGGAUAGCUAAGUGCUGGCUUGCUUUAACAAGGGGGAAUAUUAUAGUCAGCUCGGUGCCCACUUCCACCCACUGGGCAGGAGAACUAGCAACAGCCCCUGGGCCACAGUGGGGUGGUGUAGACAGUAAUGGAGAGGCAGAGGAAGAGGGUCUGGCUUCAGCUUCAUGGCUAAAAGGACAACAGGUGCCCUUCCUUCCAGGUGCUGUCAUACCUUCUUCGCCUUUAUCAGAGAAAGCCAGGCCCGUAUGAAUAUAGAUUGUGCGAAAGUAGCCUAAGCAACAUAAAAGAAAAAAAGGAUUUAUUUUUCCAAUUAACAAAGGGUAAUGGGCUUCUUCUAAAAAUUCUGCUUGGUGGUGUAUGCCACAUGAGUAAUUUUCCUUCUGCUUACUUCUCCAGAGAGGCUGCACCAGGACUACCCUACCUAAUUACUUUGCUUGCAGCCUGGUUGAGCAGCAACUGCCACAGUACCUACGGCUCCCACCUGGAAGACCAGUGAGCUGUACCAAACCGAGAAAGAGAUCUUGCACACUCAAAGCUGUGCUGGAAUCCUGGCUAUUCUAGUUACCAUGUGACCCUGGGCCAGUCCCUUAUUUCCUGAAAUGGAGAUAAUAAACUAUAAAAUGCUGAGUGUUCAUUAGAAUUAAUUGCUCACGAUUAAGUGGAGGCAGAGCAGCAUAGCUUAGCCUGGCCUGACUAAUAAUGGCACGACUAUUUCCUCUGUGUUACAGUUGAGGAGGCUACAGCUUUGAGAAGUACGACCUCAUGGCCUACAGCUGGAAAGUGGCAGAGCCUGGACUGGUAGACAGCAGGUCUGUCUCCCUCAAGAGCCCAGAAGACAGUUAAACCUGAUACCAUCGCCCGGAUGCAGCAAGGCAUCUUUCCCUCCCGGUUCCUCCCACUCUGCCCCGGAACGGAUGCUCCCACACUUGAAGAUGGAAUUACAAGUGAACCAGAUUCACAAAGGGGACUCGCCGACAAUUUAUGUUAGGAGAGUAAUCAAUGUUCACAUCAUCUAUCUUACUACCCUUCUGACUGCACGAGUCAUUAUUGAGAUUUUAAGUUGUGCCCUAUUCAAUCUUUCUCUCCUUUGCUUCUGAAUCAUUUGAUUUUCUCACCCCGGAAAAUCUAACUUUUUAUGUCAACAAGAAAAAUCUCGAAACAAGGUGGUAAAACAAACACCCCAUUGACUCUCAGACUGUAAAAUAACUAACCUUCCCCCUCCCUCUUCCCACCCCCUAUUCUUCCGCCUCCCUGCUCUUUUUUUUUUUUUAGUGCAAAUGAAGCCGAGUUUCGGGCUCCCUCCCAGGCUGGAGAAUAAGUACACCCUUAGCUUGAGUGAAACAGAGAAGGUUGAAACUGAACGAUUGAAUAGAUUUGAAUUAAAACAAUUUUCUCUCAAACAAAAGCAUUUAAGAGAGUUCAGCAAAGGUUAGGCAUGCCGAGAAUGCUGUAUUUCCUGGUAUCUUCUGAUUAGCUUUUAAGAUAAUUAGUGGUGAUGGGAGUACAGCCUAAGCAACAAGGACAUUCCUGGAGAGAAGCAGGAAGGGGAGAGCUGAGAAUCCAGAGCAGUAACCCCACCGGCUGUGUUUGCAUCUGUAAAUUCUCCCUCUGGCUUCAGUGACAUCUGGGUGACCCUAGG
Equus caballus (horse) is the source of this 3568-nucleotide long non-coding RNA. The record is from Ensembl. NCBI's taxonomy places the organism in Eukaryota, Metazoa, Chordata, Mammalia, Perissodactyla, Equidae.